UGGGGAAUAUUGCACAAUGGACGGAAGUUUGAUGCAGCGACGCCGCGUGGAGGGUGUAGGCCUUCGGGUUGUGAACUCCUUUUUCUCGCGAAAAAGGCACAGUUUUGGCUGUGUUGAUGGUAGUUGGGGAAGAAGCGCCGGCUAACUACGUGCCAGCAGCCGCGGUAAUACGUAGGGCGCGAGCGUUGUCCGGAUUUAUUGGGCGUAAAGAGCUCGUAGGUGGUUCGUCGCGUCUGUCGUGAAAGCCAGCAGCUUAACUGUUGGUCUGCGGUGGGUACGGGCGGGCUUGAGUGCGGUAGGGGUGACUGGAAUUCCUGGUGUAGCGGUGGAAUGCGCAGAUAUCACGAGGAACACCGAUGGCGAAGGCAGGUCACUGGGCCGUUACUGACACUGAGGAGCGAAAGCGUGGGGAGCGAACAGG
RNAcentral lists this ribosomal RNA (421 nucleotides) under Fusobacteriota bacterium. RNAcentral's name for it is "Fusobacteria bacterium partial 16S ribosomal RNA". It matches the Rfam family "Bacterial small subunit ribosomal RNA", at positions 355 to 776 of the family's 1533-position model. Lineage: Bacteria; Fusobacteriati; Fusobacteriota. The record is from RNAcentral.